GGGUUGUGAGGUUAAGCGACUAAGCGUACACGGUGGAUGCCCUGGCAGUCAGAGGCGAUGAAGGGCGUGCUAAUCUGCGAUAAGCGCCGGUAAGGUGAUAUGAACCGUUAUAACCGGCGAUACCCGAAUGGGGAAACCCAGUGUGAUUCGUCACACUAUCAUUAACUGAAUCCAUAGGUUAAUGAGGCGAACCGGGGGAACUGAAACAUCUAAGUACCCCGAGGAAAAGAAAUCAACCGAGAUUCCCUCAGUAGCGGCGAGCGAACGGGGAGGAGCCCAGAGCCUGAAUCAGCAUGUGUGUUAGUGGAAGCGUCUGGAAAGGCGCGCGAUACAGGGUGACAGCCCCGUACACAAAAGCGCAUAUGCUGUGAGCUCGAUGAGUAGGGCGGGACACGUGGUAUCCUGUCUGAAUAUGGGGGGACCAUCCUCCAAGGCUAAAUACUCCUGACUGACCGAUAGUGAACCAGUACCGUGAGGGAAAGGCGAAAAGAACCCCGGCGAGGGGAGUGAAAAAGAACCUGAAACCGUGUACGUACAAGCAGUGGGAGCACAGGUUUACCUGUGUGACUGCGUACCUUUUGUAUAAUGGGUCAGCGACUUAUAUUCUGUAGCAAGGUUAACCGAAUAGGGGAGCCGGAGGGAAACCGAGUCUUAACCGGGCGUUAAGUUGCAGGGUAUAGACCCGAAACCCGGUGAUCUAGCCAUGGGCAGGUUGAAGGUUGGGUAACACUAACUGGAGGACCGAACCGACUAAUGUUGAAAAAUUAGCGGAUGACCUGUGGCUGGGGGUGAAAGGCCAAUCAAACCGGGAGAUAGCUGGUUCUCCCCGAAAGCUAUUUAGGUAGCGCCUCGUGAAUUCAUCUCCGGGGGUAGAGCACUGUUUCGGCUAGGGGGCCAUCCCGGCUUACCAACCCGAUGCAAACUGCGAAUACCGGAGAAUGUUAUCACGGGAGACACACGGCGGGUGCUAACGUCCGUCGUGAGGAAACAACCCAGACCGCCAGCUAAGGUCCCAAAGUCAUGGUUAAGUGGGAAACGAUGUGGGAAGGCCCAGACAGCCGGAUGUUGGCUUAGAAGCAGCCAUCAUUUAAAGAAAGCGUAAUAGCUCACUGGUCGAGUCGGCCUGCGCGGAAGAUGUAACGGGCUAAACCAUGCACCGAAGCUGCGGCAGCGACACUCAGGUGUUGUUGGGUAGGGAGCGUUCUGUAAGCCUGUGAAGGUGGCCUGUGAGGGUUGCUGGAGGUAUCAGAAGUGCGAAUGCUGACAUAAGUAACGAUAAAGCGGGUGAAAAGCCCGCUCGCCGGAAGACCAAGGGUUCCUGUCCAACGUUAAUCGGGGCAGGGUGAGUCGACCCCUAAGGCGAGGCCGAAAGGCGUAGUCGAUGGGAAACGGGUUAAUAUUCCCGUACUUGGUGUUACUGCGAAGGGGGGACGGAGAAGGCUAUGUUGGCCGGGCGACGGUUGUCCCGGUUUAAGCGUGUAGGCGGGUGUUCCAGGUAAAUCCGGUUCACUUUAACACUGAGGCGUGACGACGAGGCACUACGGUGCUGAAGCAACAAAUGCCCUGCUUCCAGGAAAAGCCUCUAAGCAUCAGGUAACACGAAAUCGUACCCCAAACCGACACAGGUGGUCAGGUAGAGAAUACCAAGGCGCUUGAGAGAACUCGGGUGAAGGAACUAGGCAAAAUGGUGCCGUAACUUCGGGAGAAGGCACGCUGACACGUAGGUGAAGUGAUUUACUCAUGGAGCUGAAGUCAGUCGAAGAUACCAGCUGGCUGCAACUGUUUAUUAAAAACACAGCACUGUGCAAACACGAAAGUGGACGUAUACGGUGUGACGCCUGCCCGGUGCCGGAAGGUUAAUUGAUGGGGUCAGCGCAAGCGAAGCUCCUGAUCGAAGCCCCGGUAAACGGCGGCCGUAACUAUAACGGUCCUAAGGUAGCGAAAUUCCUUGUCGGGUAAGUUCCGACCUGCACGAAUGGCGUAAUGAUGGCCAGGCUGUCUCCACCCGAGACUCAGUGAAAUUGAACUCGCUGUGAAGAUGCAGUGUACCCGCGGCAAGACGGAAAGACCCCGUGAACCUUUACUAUAGCUUGACACUGAACAUUGAGCCUUGAUGUGUAGGAUAGGUGGGAGGCUUUGAAGUGUGGACGCCAGUCUGCAUGGAGCCGACCUUGAAAUACCACCCUUUAAUGUUUGAUGUUCUAACGUGGACCCGUGAUCCGGGUUGCGGACAGUGUCUGGUGGGUAGUUUGACUGGGGCGGUCUCCUCCUAAAGAGUAACGGAGGAGCACGAAGGUUGGCUAAUCCUGGUCGGACAUCAGGAGGUUAGUGCAAUGGCAUAAGCCAGCUUGACUGCGAGCGUGACGGCGCGAGCAGGUGCGAAAGCAGGUCAUAGUGAUCCGGUGGUUCUGAAUGGAAGGGCCAUCGCUCAACGGAUAAAAGGUACUCCGGGGAUAACAGGCUGAUACCGCCCAAGAGUUCAUAUCGACGGCGGUGUUUGGCACCUCGAUGUCGGCUCAUCACAUCCUGGGGCUGAAGUAGGUCCCAAGGGUAUGGCUGUUCGCCAUUUAAAGUGGUACGCGAGCUGGGUUUAGAACGUCGUGAGACAGUUCGGUCCCUAUCUGCCGUGGGCGCUGGAGAACUGAGGGGGGCUGCUCCUAGUACGAGAGGACCGGAGUGGACGCAUCACUGGUGUUCGGGUUGUCAUGCCAAUGGCACUGCCCGGUAGCUAAAUGCGGAAGAGAUAAGUGCUGAAAGCAUCUAAGCACGAAACUUGCCCCGAGAUGAGUUCUCCCUGAGACUUUAGGUCUCCUGAAGGAACGUUGAAGACGACGACGUUGAUAGGCCGGGUGUGUAAGCGCAGCGAUGCGUUGAGCUAACCGGUACUAAUGAACCGUGAGGCUUAACCUUACAACGCCGAAG
Molecule: ribosomal RNA, 2922 nt
Filed under: Salmonella enterica
Lineage: Bacteria; Pseudomonadati; Pseudomonadota; Gammaproteobacteria; Enterobacterales; Enterobacteriaceae
Description: bacterial LSU rRNA
Rfam family: Bacterial large subunit ribosomal RNA
Source: RNAcentral